This 867-nucleotide ribosomal RNA is filed under the name Dactylellina asthenopaga. RNAcentral describes it as "partial large subunit ribosomal RNA". It matches the Rfam family "Eukaryotic large subunit ribosomal RNA", at positions 56 to 952 of the family's 3401-position model. Lineage: Eukaryota; Fungi; Ascomycota; Orbiliomycetes; Orbiliales; Orbiliaceae. The record is from RNAcentral.
GAACCAACAGGGGUUGCCUCAGUAACGGCGAGUGAAGCGGCAAAAGCUCAAAUUUGAAAUCUGGAGCCUUCGGCUUCCGAGUUGUAAUUUGAAGAGGAUGUUUCGGUUGCGGCUUGGGCCUAAGUUCCUUGGAACAGGACGUCAUGGAGGGUGAGAAUCCCGUAUAUGGCUCCCGGCUUGCUUCCAUGUGAAACUCCUUCGAAGAGUCGAGUUGUUUGGGAAUGCGGCUCAAAAUGGGUGGUAAAUUUCAUCUAAAGCUAAAUAUUGGCGAGAGACCGAUAGCGCACAAGUAGAGUGAUCGAAAGAUGAAAAGCACUUUGAAAAGAGAGUUAAACAGUACGUGAAAUUGUUGAAAGGGAAGCGCUUGCAAUCAGACUCACUUUCAGUUGAUCAACGUUCCUUCUGGUUCGUGCACUCUGCUGUUUGUGGGCCAGCAUCAGUUGGAGCGGUGGGACAAAGGCAGCAGGAAUGUGGCUCUUCGGAGUGUUAUAGCCUGCUGUGUAAUGCCACCUGUUCCGACUGAGGUCCGCGAUUCGUCUAGGAUGCUGGCUUAAUGGUUGUAAGCGACCCGUCUUGAAACACGGACCAAGGAGUCUAACAUCUAUGCGAGUCUUUGGGUGUCAAACCCAUGGGCGAAAUGAAAGUGAACGGAGGUGGGAGUCCUCGGAUGCACCAUCGACCGAUCCUGAUGUUCUCGGAUGGAUUUGAGUAGGAGCAUAGCUGUUGGGACCCGAAAGAUGGUGAACUAUGCCUGAAUAGGGUGAAGCCAGAGGAAACUCUGGUGGAGGCUCGCAGCGGUUCUGACGUGCAAAUCGAUCGUCAAAUUUGGGUAUAGGGGCGAAAGACUAAUCGAACCAUCUAGUAGCU